Molecule: ribosomal RNA, 854 nt
Filed under: uncultured bacterium
Lineage: Bacteria
Description: bacterial SSU rRNA
Rfam family: Bacterial small subunit ribosomal RNA
Source: RNAcentral
AGAGUUUGAUCCUGGCUCAGGAUGAACGCUGGCGGCGUGCCUAAUACAUGCAAGUCGAACGCACAGCGAAAGGUGCUUGCACCUUUCAAGUGAGUGGCGAACGGGUGAGUAACACGUGGAUAACCUACCUCAAGGUUGGGGAUAACAUUUGGAAACAGAUGCUAAUACCGAAUAAAACUUCGUAUCGCAUGAUACAAGGUUAAAAGGCGCUACGGCGUCACCUAGAGAUGGAUCCGCGGUGCAUUAGUUAGUUGGUGGGGUAAAGGCCUACCAAGACAAUGAUGCAUAGCCGAGUUGAGAGACUGAUCGGCCACAUUGGGACUGAGACACGGCCCAAACUCCUACGGGAGGCUGCAGUAGGGAAUCUUCCACAAUGGGCGAAAGCCUGAUGGAGCAACGCCGCGUGUGUGAUGAAGGCUUUCGGGUCGUAAAGCACUGUUGUAUGGGAAGAACAGCUAGAGUAGGGAAUGACUUUAGUUUGACGGUACCAUACCAGAAAGGGACGGCUAAAUACGUGCCAGCAGCCGCGGUAAUACGUAUGUCCCGAGCGUUAUCCGGAUUUAUUGGGCGUAAAGCGAGCGCAGACGGUUGAUUAAGUCUGAUGUGAAAGCCCGGAGCUCAACUCCGGAAAGGCAUUGGAAACUGGUCAACUUGAGUGCAGUAGAGGUAAGUGGAACUCCAUGUGUAGCGGUGGAAUGCGUAGAUAUAUGGAAGAACACCAGCGGCGAAGGCGGCUUACUGGACUGUAACUGACGUUGAGGCUCGAAAGUGUGGGUAGCAAACAGGAUUAGAUACCCUGGUAGUCCACACCGUAAACGAUGAACACUAGGUGUUAGGAAGUUUCCCGCCUCUUA